GUUUACAAAUCUGCAGAGACGGAGACUCCACCAGACUCCGAGACAGACAAUUCCACCAUUGAACAGCUCUUACCAUCAGAAAGCUCUUCCUAACGUUCAGGUGGAAUCUAUUUUCCUACAAUUUGAAGCCAUUGCUCCAUGGCUAUCAUGUCACCUUUCAGUCUUUUCUUCUCUACCCUAAACAUUCCCAGAUUCCUUGUAUUUGUUAGGAUUGCUCUAGAGUUUUAGACAAACUUCAGAACAACCCACAACUUUUCUUAAUGUGGAAUUAACCAGGUUUUCCCCACUAUAGUUGCCAGAAGUGCAGGACUACCAGACAAACUCAUGUUGAGCAUGGGUUAUAAUCUCUGUACAGAUGAGCCCAGAGUUGAAAUCACUUGCAGGAAAAAAAAGCCCACAUUCUCAGACCAUUACAAUUGUUCAUCCUAGCAAUAUGUAAAGAUAAAACAGAAGUGAGUGAAUGCAUACACAAAGUGGCUUGCGAUGAGUAUGUACAGACCCACUACUCCAUGCUUUCAGUUUGAUCUGUGCAAAAUAUUAAGUGUGGGAGGAAGAAAAAGAAAGAGACCUGCUGUAGCACAACCCAUUAUACUAUUGCCUUUUGAAAGGCCUAAAUUUUCACAUAAUCACUUGCAAUUUUCUUGGGAGCACAAAGAGGCAACGCCAAUCCAUGUGACGGUAAUUCUGUCAAAGUGCUUUGAUACUCACCACUGAUAUGUGUAGUCCCAUUUCCAUUCCUCGUCCCAUUUUCUACCCCCUUAGAAACCUUCCCAGAGGAUUUGGAGAGCCUGGACAAUGGGAGAUGGCACACAGUAGAAAGUUUAAAGGAGAGGAGGGCUCAUCCAGAACUGGUGGGGUCUACUGGGUUUUUGAUUAUUCAUCCAGCAUCCUAUGACACAUUCCAGAUGGUUCUGGCCUUUAAGAGAAGAUUCCUUAAAUUGACUCAGAUUCAUAUCCAUGCCAGUGUCAUUUCUCACAUCAUUGCAAUAAACAUUAAGAAGCACUCCCUGACAGAACUGUUCAACAGUGGAAUAGUCUGCCUUUGAGUCCAGUGGAGUCUCCGUCUCUGCAGGUUUUUAAAGGAAGCCUGGAUGGCCAUUUUUUGGGAGUGCUUUCUGUGUGUAUUCCUGCAUGGCUGCAGGCUGAACUGGAUGGCCCUUGGGGCCCCUUCCAACUCUAUGAUUCUAUAAUUCUCGAUCAUAAUAUCCAUUAACAACUACAGAACAAUAGAAUUCCCAGUCUGGCAAGCAGGGUAUCCCAAAGUAUGUUUCGCAUCAGUGAAGAAUUUGCUUUUCUCACUAAAAUUCCUGAAUGAGUCUUUGCAAUUUUCUGAUAUUUUUUAAAGAAGGUCAGUGUUUUCAAUACAAGCUGUGUGUGCAUGUUUUUAAAUCAAAAGUGGCCACCAAACUAUUUUUCCACCCCUAGGAAACCAUCUAAUCUCCAGUUUGGCCCUAGAAAUAUCUCAGAAAUGGGAGCCAAAGAGAAGGACAAGGGAUAAACCUUGAAAUGCAUUUGAAGUUGCAGUUCAAAUUGGAAUGCAUUCCCAAAGCUGUGGUUUCAGCUCUGAAUCAGUUUUAAGGAUUUUAACUUUCAGUUCUUAAUAACAUUAAUAUUUAAUUCUAUUUUAAUGUUUGUGUAUUUUUUAGUUUUAAUUUUUAUUGAAUUGGUUAUAUUGUAAGCCACUUUGAGUCUCGUUUGUAGAGAGAAAAUGUGAGAAUAAGUAAACAUAAUAAUAAUAAUAAUAAUAAUAAUAAUAAUAAUAAUAAUAAUAAUGCACAAAAGGUAAGGGGGGAGAAAUAGAGACAGCACACAUGCUUCUGGAAUUAUAUUCUAAAAAGUAACUUUCCCAAAUGUCCUGGGUCCAGUUCUGGUUAGUUUUAGGGAGAGGGAUAAUUUUGUUGUUGUUGUUAACUGCUAUCAAGUUGUCUUACACUUAUAGCGACCCCAUGAAUUGGAGUUCUCCAAAGACAAUUUUUCACUAACAGCCUGACAAAGUCAGUUUUUACAAGGUCAUAUUGGACAAUUUGUAAAUUACAAUGAAGAGUCUGUUGCUUCAAUAUUGUUUGCAUAGGCAACUAGAUAGAUUUUAAUUUUGCACUUGUUUACAUUGCCUUAUUGGGUGAGUGUGCUGAAGCCCUAAUAAUUGCGUGUUUCUAAUAAGUGUGCCUCCUAUAAAAGGCUUCUGUACUAAUUCUUUGAAACAGAAAGUUGUGAGUUCCUCCAUUAGGUUUUGAUAUAUUUAUAACUUUUUUUCAUGUCAGGAGCAACCGGAGUUGCUUCUGGAGUGAGAGAAUUGGCCGUCUGCGAGGAUUUAUAACUACUUAGUGAUUAAAUGCCCAUGGUUGUGGGGUGUGUGAAGGAAGAGGUCUUGUGUUGCAGUGACCGAAAGCAUAUAGAGACAUUGUGCACUUCCCCAGGGAUUUCAUGUACGGGGAGACUAAGAACAUUUCCAUAUUCCCCUGUUAUGGAACCUUGAUCCCAUUUGAACUGUCAUGAUAGCAUGGAAUUGGGGGGAUUGUAGUUUGUUGAGGCAUGGUUCCACUUAAACAGUGAUUGCAGCAUCCAGAAGAAUCCUGGAGUUUGUAGUCUGAUAAGGUCCUAUUGUUCUUUACCAAGAAUGAACGAACAUUUAAGCCCUUGUAUCUGUGGGGAAUACGUUUCAGGGUUUCACUUAGAUACGUGAAACCAUACAGGUCAUAUCAAACCCUAGUGAAUGAAUGUAUUCUGAUGGAAGCAUACCAUAAUGUCACACUGAAGGAUCUAAAAGAGGGAUCAUACUUUAUCAGACGUGUGUAAAUCAAACUACAAGGACAGAUUUUGCAUAUCUUGGGGAUCAUAUAAUACUGCUUUAGAUGACUUCUGGGGAUGGAGGGCAAUGGGAAAGUAGCUGGUUCUCCUUUUUGUAAACAUUUUAGUGCUAUCCUGUUAUUUAAAAAUAGCUCUUAAAUUGACUCAACAAACACCCUUCCUUGUGGUGUAUUCUUAAUGUAUUUUUUUUUUAUUCUGAAUGCUAAUCUGGAAUGGAGGCCACCCUUUGUUCUCUUCUCGCAGUUCUCUGUAGUGUAUCAAAAGAUGCUAUGUUCUACCUUCCCAGUUGCUCUUUCGCUGAAUCUUACAAUGUCUUUAGCCAUCCUCUUGUUCAACGAAUGGAAAUGGAGUUUAUAUAUGAGCAGACAAAGGGGUUGACUGCAUACUCUUCUGAAAGAUGUUAUAGAGACACAAUCCAGGCUUAUAAAAAAGUACUGGGUUAAUUAACUUGGUCUGUAUUAUGUUUUUUAGAACCUGUGUUCAAGUCUUUUAAUAUUUCCUGACAAAGGGGGAAUAGUGAUCUCCCCCUUUUAAAAAAUACUAUGCGAUAGGAUCAGCCACACAGAAACAUAUAUGCCGCAGUUAGGCCAAUUUUAUAUUUUUUGGAGUACACACAGUCCAUGCACGGGCUGUAGCAAUUUAACCCCCUUUUAGACUGCGCUGUAGUGGAGCCAGGGCUCAAAGGGUCACAAUUCUGGGACAUGACAUCAUUUGCCUGUCUCUCCACCUACCUCUCCGUUCCUGUCCCUUCUGAAUUUUGCUGCCUUCCUCACUUUUCCUCAUUUUUUCCCAACACAUUAUAUUGUUGUGAGCCAUCCCUUCUGUGAUACAUAGUCUUCAGGGAGGCUUGGUCAUGAAUGAGCAAUCAGGACCCAUUGGAGAUGGAAGAUUGCUGGAACUGAUUGAUCAGUUCAGGUCAACAGAACCAUGAGGGACUCCCUUAAGGGUCAUAGUUUUGGGGACUUCCAUGAUAAGCAGCUACAGUUGACCAUGGUUUAUUGGUGGAGAAGUUAUGUCCAGCUUCCCCAGUCAAGUGCUCUGCAUUCUGGUGGAAGUUGUAGGCUAAGUCAUCUGCAAAGCAUCCAGGACGGAGAAGUCUGAACUAUGGCGGAGUCCAGCCAUUAAAACUCCCCAUAUGCUUGGUUGUUAUGAGAGCAUCACUUGAGAUUGAGGAACUUCCUGAACAUUGAUCCAUAUUGGUGUGUCCCUUUUCUGGAAGGAGAUAGCAAUGCCAUAGCAUCUCUGGAUGAAUCACAAAUAAGAGACUUCUCUAAUGCUGAUCCUGUCUACUCAACAUAUGUCCCUUAGAUAUAAUGGGACUUAUUCCAGGGGCCUUUUCUCACUCCCAUUAUAGCACUAUGGUUCCACUUUAACUACCAUGGUGCCAUCCUAUGGGAUUCACUUUUAAAGGCAGACAUUAGGAUUUCCCAACCAGAGAUCUGUAGCUCUUCACCAAACUGCAAGCACCAGGAUUCUAGUGCAUAUUCCUCUAGCAUAGUGAUCCUCAACCUGAGGUCCCCAGAUGUUUUUUGGCCUACAACUCUGAGAAAUCCCAGCCAAUUUACCAGCUGUUAGGAUUUCUGGGAGUUGAAGGCCAAAAACAUCUGGGGACCCAGGUUGAGAACCCUUGCCCUGGUAGUUGAAGUGGAAUCACGGUGCUACAAUUAUAUGCAGUAGGCUCUCCACAUUGGUUGGGUUCAAAGGAACUAGUGGGAAAUCCACAAAUUUCAGGUCCUCCAGCACAACUCUGUGGUCAACAUCUGGCUGAAGUUGGCAAUAGAACUGAACUGGAGCACUUAGAGAUUCCUCAAGAGACCAUAUUAAUCAAAUCCGCAAAUGCGGAGGGCCAACUGUAGAGUGAAAGGUCCCCAGGUGAGUGAGUAUAAGAAGCUCUUCUUUUUGUGAUUAUUUUCUCACUAUUGAAAUGUUUAGCAGAUGUUUUCAGCACAUCUCAAUUAACUCCCAUGCACUAGGAUAGGAUAUUUUUAUCCCCGUGUCUUGUUGCAGAAACCACACACAACCUGACUGACGAUGUAGGCAUUGUUAUGUCUUCAAUACAAUAUCACAGUUUCCCCAAAUUCCAUUAGUUUUCCUACAAACAAAACCAUCCAGGAUGAAAAAUAUGCAGUUCCAUUUUUUGGCACGAAACAAAGGUGCUUUGGUGGUCAGUAAUUUGUCCCAAUAUGGGAGCAAUUGAACUCACUCCUUCCCGUGGAAUAGAAAAUAGGAAUUCUUGAGCUCCAGAAAUACUCCACAAUUGUUUGUUUGGAGCUCCCCCAAAUAAAACUAUAGCACUUUGGUCCCAUUUCAGCUUCCAUGGUUUCAUCCUAUGGAAUUCUGGGAUUUGGAGUUUCAUGAAGGGUUUAAAAUUCACUUCCUGAUAACUUUGAACCCUCUUAGGCCAGAUGUGCACUUUGUGACUGCAUAAUAUGGUCAGUGUAGACCAGGCAUGGGCAAACUUUGGCCCUCCAGGUGUUUUGGACUUCAACUCUCACAAUUCCUAACAGCCUACCGGCUGUUAGGAAUUGUGGGAGUUGAAGUCCAAAACACCUGGAGGGCCAAAUUUUGCUCCCGCUGGAUAUUGACUUGUACGGGGCUUAUCUACAGCAAAAUUUC
This 5424-nucleotide long non-coding RNA is filed under the name Anolis carolinensis (green anole). Its description in RNAcentral is "lncRNA (ENSACAG00000036098.1)". The record is from RNAcentral. Lineage: Eukaryota; Metazoa; Chordata; Lepidosauria; Squamata; Anolidae.